AACUGCGAGUGAAGCGGGAAAAGCUCAAAUUUAAAAUCUGGUGGUCUUUUGGUCAUCCGAGUUGUAAUUUAGAGAAGCGUCUUCCGCGCCGGACCGUGCACAAGUCUCCUGGAAUGGAGCGUCAUAGAGGGUGAGAAUCCCGUCUUUGGCAUGGACACCCGGGGCUUCUGUGAUGCGCUCUCGAAGAGUCGAGUUGUUUGGGAAUGCAGCUCAAAAUGGGUGGUGAACUCCAUCUAAAGCUAAAUAUUGGCGAGAGACCGAUAGCGAACAAGUACCGUGAGGGAAAGAUGAAAAGCACUUUGGAAAGAGAGUGAAACAGUACGUGAAAUUGUUGAAAGGGAAACGCUUGAAGUCAGUCGCGUUGACUGAGACUCAGCCUUGCCUCGGCUUGGCGUACUUCUCGGCUGACGGGCCAGUAUCAAUUUUGUCCCUCGGAUAAUGGCAAGGGAAAGGUGGCACCUUUACCGGUGUGUUAUAGUCUCUUGUCGCAUGCGAGGGGCGGGAUUGAGGAACUCAGCACGCACCUUUUGGUGUCGGGGCCUU
Molecule: ribosomal RNA, 543 nt
Filed under: Lactifluus sp. HL-2017c
Lineage: Eukaryota; Fungi; Basidiomycota; Agaricomycetes; Russulales; Russulaceae
Description: LSU rRNA
Rfam family: Eukaryotic large subunit ribosomal RNA
Source: RNAcentral